Molecule: transfer RNA, 66 nt
Filed under: Heterocephalus glaber (naked mole-rat)
Lineage: Eukaryota; Metazoa; Chordata; Mammalia; Rodentia; Bathyergidae
Rfam family: tRNA
About the family: Transfer RNA (tRNA) molecules are approximately 80 nucleotides in length. Their secondary structure includes four short double-helical elements and three loops (D, anti-codon, and T loops).
Source: Rfam by way of RNAcentral
GCAGAGGUAGCUCAGUGGUAGAGCUCUUGCCUAUCAUGCAUGAGGUCCUGGAUUGUAUCCUCAGCA